GACGAUAUGGCCGAGCGGUCUAAGGCGAUAGACUAGAAAUCUAUUCUCUUCGGAGGCGUCGGUUCAAAUCCGACUGUCGUCG
Transfer RNA from Aspergillus niger, 82 nucleotides. It matches the Rfam family "tRNA". Rfam says of the family: Transfer RNA (tRNA) molecules are approximately 80 nucleotides in length. Their secondary structure includes four short double-helical elements and three loops (D, anti-codon, and T loops). Further hydrogen bonds mediate the characteristic L-shaped molecular structure. tRNAs have two regions of fundamental functional importance: the anti-codon, which is responsible for specific mRNA codon recognition, and the 3' end, to which the tRNAs corresponding amino acid is attached (by aminoacyl-tRNA synthetases). tRNAs cope with the degeneracy of the genetic code in two manners: having more than one tRNA (with a specific anti-codon) for a particular amino acid; and 'wobble' base-pairing, i.e. permitting non-standard base-pairing at the 3rd anti-codon position. The record is from Rfam. NCBI's taxonomy places the organism in Eukaryota, Fungi, Ascomycota, Eurotiomycetes, Eurotiales, Aspergillaceae.